AGUGAACGCUGGCGGUAGGCCUAACACAUGCAAGUCGAACGGUAGCACAGUAAGAGCUUGCUCUUACGGGUGGUGAGUGGUGGACGGGUGAGGAAUACAUCGGAAUCUACUUUUUCGUGGGGGUUCACGUAGGGCAACUUACGCUGAUACCGCAUUCGACCUACGGGUGAAAGCAUGGGUUCUUCGGACCUUGCGCGUUUGAAUGAGUCGGCGUAGGUUUACCUAGGUGGUGGGGUAGAGGCCCACCAAGUCUCGGAUCCGUAGUUGGUGUGAGAGAAUGAGAAGCCACACUGUGACGGGAACACGGUCCAGACUCCUACGGGGGGCAGCAGUGGGGAAGAUUGGACAAGGGGCGCAAGCCUGAUCCAGCCAUACCGCGUGGGUGAAGAAGGCAUUCGGGUUGUAAAGCCCUUUGGUUGGGAAAGAAAAGCAGCAGGAGAAUACCCCGCUGUUCUGACGGUACCCAAAGAAUAAGCACCGGCUAACUUCGUG
RNAcentral lists this ribosomal RNA (492 nucleotides) under uncultured bacterium. Its description in RNAcentral is "partial 16S ribosomal RNA". It matches the Rfam family "Bacterial small subunit ribosomal RNA", at positions 29 to 507 of the family's 1533-position model. The record is from RNAcentral.